RNAcentral lists this long non-coding RNA (3944 nucleotides) under Brassica napus (rape). Its description in RNAcentral is "long non-coding RNA (BNAP_LNC019892)". The record is from RNAcentral. Lineage: Eukaryota; Viridiplantae; Streptophyta; Magnoliopsida; Brassicales; Brassicaceae.
UAUUAGUUUAAGAAGGACUCAAGUUGGGCGAUGCAAUGUCAAUGAUAGCAGCGGUUUUCCUGGGACUCCUUGCUUCGAAUCAGCUGAACCUUCCUUUGUGGUUGCUCGGUCGAAGUACUCAGGACUAUCUGAUUUUAGUCCAAUGGUUGAUUCACUGGGGGACGUGGCCGAUGAAGACACUUGGACAAAACUAAACAAGGGUUUUGUCCCAGACCUUGAUCAACUCCAGUUUACACCUGCAAUUAAAAGGCAACCCACUCCAUUAAUUGCUGCAACCACGGUUAGUAGAUACAAAUACUUGACCCAUGUUAUCUUCCAAUAGUAACAGAGUUGCAAUGAAUAGAGACACGUGGAUGCAUAUGGUCUCUUUAUUCGCUCCCCUUUUCAUAUCAGCAUGCACACAAACACUCUGGUGCAUCAAUACUGGCUGGUAUCUAGCUCAUGUAUACUGAGAAUUACUAAAUUUUGAAACUUCAUAUAGAUGAAUACCGAAUACGCAUACAUUAUCCAAAACACGUUCCUAAGCUGGCCAUAAUUUUUCGUUAACUUUGUUUUAGGAAUGCUCGCGUGAAAAUCAGAAAGUGGUGGAAGAUCUCAAAAGUCAGAUUGAGUUGCUGACCAGUGAAAAGGACAGCCUGCAGGUUAGACAUAUUGGCUUUAUUGGUUGUUCAAGUGAAUAUGCUUUAGCCUUUAGCCAUAAAAUGAAUAUUCUGUUAAAAAUUAAAUGAAUGAUACCAGCUGAUUGUUUAUGCAUCAACUAUGCAUUCUCAGGUAAAAUUCAGCGAACAAGUAGUACUGAACAACAAACUUUUGGGAGAGAUAUCUGAGCUCAAAGAAGGAACGCUUCACAUGAAAGAAAUUCCAAAACUGUUAUCUGAGUCGGUUGCUAAUUGCAAGGAUGUAUACAAGGACGUGAUAGUCACAAUGAAGGUGAACAGCUUACCUUUUCUUAUGUGAAUGAUCAUCACUAAAAGGAAAAUUGAGUUUAAAGUCUUUUGUCUUGCAUUUUGUCAGACCUUAAUGGCUGAGAAAGAAUCUCCGACAGCAAAGCUACUCUUUGGUGUAACUGGAAUCUCAACAAGCCUUCUUUCAACUCUAGAAUCACAAUUCUCAAUGAUAAUGGAUGGUCAGAAAGCGGGUAGCAUCGUAGAUUAUCCUUUAUAUGAUCAAUGGGAAACACUUCGUGUUAGUCUGAAGAACACAGCCACAAGCCUGCUGUUAGACGCACAAGCAAAAGAUGAAAUUCUUAACUCCCACGACAAGGUAGAUUCCUUGUCACAAUCAUCAAGAUACGGAUCAAUUUUGCUUAUUGUUUCUUUCGUUUUGCUUUUAUACUUUUGUCUCUCUUUUUAUACUUUUGUCUCUCUUGUUAGGACUUAGUCCAGUGAAACCUCUGCAUACGUUUCUUAAGGGUUUGGAUCAUAACUUAUAUACUUUCCUGUUUCUUGUACAUUUACAUCUCAUUGGAGCUUCACUUGAAUCUCUAUAUACCAAUGUUUCAAUGGGAAAAGCAGGAACUGAUUCUUGUUUAGUUGAUUAGAUCUUGUGGUCAGAUUACUAUAUCUAAGACAGGUUUUGAAUGUGAAUUUUUAAGGGACAAGAAGCGGGUGCAAUGGAGGAGAAGCUGAAGUCUGAGCUCAGCAUAGUCAAGGAAAGAUAUAACGAGCUGGAGAAAGAGUUGUCUUUGGAUAAACUGCUUCUAAAAGCUUCAAGAGAGAGCCAUGAGAGGCUGGAAAAGGAAGUACAAUUCCUGAAGGAAGAAAGAGAUUCAUUAGAUGUAGCAGUCUCUCAAUCAACUCAGAGGUUGAGAGUGAUUGCAUCUGAUAAAGAGAAUGCUUUGAAAGAUCUUAAUGUGGAAGUGAAGAGAAGGAAAGAGAUGGAGGAAGAGAUUAAGCAAAUCAGCGUCUUUGAUGUGCAGCGUGGAGUGUUUGUUGCUGGUCUUAAGGAAGAGAUUGUUAGUGACGCUGAACAGAUUCUAAAGCUUUUAGACUCUGGAGAAGGUUUUUAAGCCAAAGCUAAGCUAAGAAGUAUUUUGAUUAUGCAUAAUAAUGUGUACUGACAUGGUCUUCUUUAAUUAACAGUUAAUAGGCACUUUGGCGAGACAAACAUGAACGUUCAUAGUAGCAGGUCCCAUACCAUCUUCAGAAUGGUAAGGGUUUUCAAAUCUAUGUACGGAAACUUCUACUGUUUUGUAAGUGAUUAUUUUGAUCUGAUCUCUCUGGUGGGAUAGGUGAUUGAGAGCAGGGGAAAAGAAAACUCUUCUACGGAUGCUAUCCGUGUCUCAGUCUUGGUGAGUGAUAAUUUUACCAUCUUCCAAAAGUUUCUUGUGGAGGCUACAUUUAAAUGAUAAUUCUCUUACUGGUGUUCUUUUAAUGGAAUCUAGAAUUUGGUUGACCUGGCUGGAUCUGAGCGUAUUGCUAAAACCGGUGCUGGUGGAGUGCGCUUGACAGAAGGGAAGUACAUUAAUAAGAGCUUAAUGAUUCUUGGUAAUGUUAUCAAUAAGCUAAGUGAAAGUUCAAAGCUAAGGUACUUUCUUACCCUUUCAUUUAGCUACACGUACCAACGAUACAGCUCAGCUCAUUUCUUACAUUCUUGAUUAUAGAGCACAUAUUCCUUACCGAGACAGUAAGCUAACUAGAAUUCUUCAGCCUGCACUUGGUGGUAAUGCCAAGACUUGCAUUAUAUGCACUAUCGCACCAGAAGAGGUAAAAGAAGUUUUCUUUUUGUCAGGUUUUGCAUUUUCCUGGCUUUUGUUAAUCAUGCACACGAAAGAUUAGUCAAUUAAUGAGUAAUAGUUGAAUGCUCAUGUGUGUAGCAUCAUAUUGAGGAAUCAAAAGGAACUCUCCAAUUUGCAAGCAGAGCCAAACGCAUCACCAACUGUGCUCAAAUUAAUGAGGUCAGCCUGUCAAUGAGCGCAAGAUUCUUGGGAGAGAUUUAACUCACUUUCUUCUUUGUGUCCUGUUGAUUGGUUUUUCUUCUUCUUCUUUAUUGAAUAUCUGACAGUGUUUCAAUGCUUCAGAUCUUGACUGAUGCUGCUUUGUUGAAACGCCAAAAAUUAGAGAUAGAAGAACUAAGGAUGAAGCUUCAGGUAUAGUCAACUUUUAUUUCAAAUACAUCUAGGCAUGGGGACGACACUAACAUUACUAAAUUUUGUAGGGAUCCCAUGCUGAGGUGUUGGAACAAGAGAUAUUAAAGUUAAGCAAUCAGAUGCUUAAGGUAGUUUUUUUUUUGCAUUUUUCUCUUGUGUAUGUAUUCUAUAGAACAUUGAGCAGACACAGUAUACUAAACAUCUACCCUUUUGUUUGAUUUCCAGUAUGAGUUAGAAUGUGAAAGGCUAAAAACACAACUGGAAGAAGAGAGAGGAAAACAGAAGGAGCAGGAGCAAUGCAUCAAGGAGCAACAGUUAAAAAUUGAGAACUUAAACAAUCUUGUCACUAAUUCAGACUUUAAGAAGAACCAGUCAGAGGUACAUAUGCAUUCAUUGGCUCAGAUAGAUUUUCUGAAUAAUGCCUCAACCAUAACACCCAGACAUUUUUUUCUGAGAAACAGGCUUUAAUUUGCAAACUCCUAACUUCUUAUUGAUUGUGUUAGAGAAGUUAAUUAUUGCUUUUAUGCUAAUAUGUUGGACUCAUGUAGUUUGGUUAUGUAAAGCUUUUGUUAAUGUAACAUCUCUAUUGGCAGGACUUUAUUAGUUUAAGAAGGACUCAAGUUGGGCGAUGCAAUGUCAAUGAUAGCAGCGGUUUUCCUGGGACUCCUUGCUUCGAAUCAGCUGAACCUUCCUUUGUGGUUGCUCGGUCGAAGUACUCAGGACUAUCUGAUUUUAGUCCAAUGGUUGAUUCACUGGGGGACGUGGCCGAUGAAGACACUUGGACAAAACUAAACAAGGGUUUUGUCCCAGACCUUGAUCAACUCCAGUUUACACCUGCAAUUAAAAGACAACCCAC